Molecule: transfer RNA, 62 nt
Filed under: Hestiasula hoffmanni
Lineage: Eukaryota; Metazoa; Arthropoda; Insecta; Mantodea; Hymenopodidae
Description: tRNA-Cys
Source: RNAcentral
GGUCUUAUAUUCAUGGAAUGAUAUUAGAAUGCAAUUCUAAAGGUGUAGUUAUACUAAGACUU